This 72-nucleotide transfer RNA is filed under the name Gymnogobius petschiliensis. Its description in RNAcentral is "tRNA-Ser". Lineage: Eukaryota; Metazoa; Chordata; Actinopteri; Gobiiformes; Gobiidae. The record is from RNAcentral.
AGAAAGGCUUGCCAGCGACAAAGACUGCUAACCCUUGUGCCCUCGGCUGGAUUCCGAAGCUAUCUCGCAUGC